Molecule: non-coding RNA, 603 nt
Filed under: Stegodyphus mimosarum
Lineage: Eukaryota; Metazoa; Arthropoda; Arachnida; Araneae; Eresidae
Description: eukaryotic small subunit ribosomal RNA
Rfam family: Eukaryotic small subunit ribosomal RNA
Source: Rfam by way of RNAcentral
CUAGUUGAUCCUGCCAGUAGUCGUAUGCUUGUCUGAAAGACUAAGCCAUGCAUAUCUAAGUAUAUGCCGUAUAAGGCGAAACCGCGAAUGGCCCAUUAAAGCAGUUGCAGUUUCUUGGAUCGUACCUUACUACUUGGUUAAGCAUGGCAAUUCUACAGCUAAUACAUGCAGCAGAGCUCCGACCCUCUAGGGACGAGCGCUUUUGUUAAACCAAAAUCAAUAGGACCUCGUCUCCGUAUUAUGCGGUGACUCUGUAUAACUUUAGGCUGAUCGCAUGCACUCGUGCCGGCGACGUAUCCUUCAAGUGUCUGCCUUAUCAACUGUCGAUGGUAGGUUACGCACUUAUCAUGGUCGUGACAGAUGACGAGGAAUCAGAAUUCCAAUCCGGAGAGAGAGCCUGAGAAACGGCUACCACAUCCAAAGAUGGCAGCAAGCGCGCAAAUUACCCACUAACGGGGAGAUAGUGACGAAAAAUAACAAUACCAGACUCUUUUGAGACCCCGUAAUUGGAAUGAGUACAGUCUAAAUUGUUUAAUGAGGAUCAAUUGAAGGGAAAGUCUGGUGCCAGCAGCCGCGGUAAUUCCAGCUCCAAUAGUGUGUGAG